Otolemur garnettii (small-eared galago) is the source of this 106-nucleotide ribosomal RNA. Lineage: Eukaryota; Metazoa; Chordata; Mammalia; Primates; Galagidae. The record is from Ensembl.
GUCUACGGGCAUCCACCCUGAAGGGGCCCGAUCUUGUCUGAUCUCAGAAGCUAAGCAGGGUCGGGCCUGGUUAGUACUCGGAUGGGAGAAAUCAUCUUCAUAGAUG